UCGUGAUUAUUGGGUCUAAAGGGUCCGUAGCCGGUUUGGUCAGUCCUCCGGGAAAUCUGAUAGCUCAACUAUUAGGCUUUCGGGGGAUACUGCCAGACUUGGAACCGGGAGAGGUAAGAGGUACUACAGGGGUAGGAGUGAAAUCUUGUAAUCCCUGUGGGACCACCUGUGGCGAAGGCGUCUUACCAGAACGGGUUCGACGGUGAGGGACGAAAGCUGGGGGCACGAACCGGAUUAGAUACCCGGGUAGUCCCAGCCGUAAACGAUGCUCGCUAGGUGUCAGGCAUGGCGCGACCGUGUCUGGUGCCGCAGGGAAGCCGUGAAGCGAGCCACCUGGGAAGUACGGCCGCAAGGCUGAAACUUAAAGGAAUUGGCGGGGGAGCACAACAACGGGUGGAGCCUGCGGUUUAAUUGGACUCAACGCCGGACAACUCACCGGGGGCGACAGCAAUAUGUAGGCCAAGCUGAAGACUUUGCCUGAAUCGCUGAGAAGUGGUGCAUGG
Molecule: ribosomal RNA, 503 nt
Filed under: uncultured archaeon
Lineage: Archaea
Description: bacterial SSU rRNA
Rfam family: Archaeal small subunit ribosomal RNA
Source: RNAcentral